UUUACACCAAGGUCGGGUUGUGCAACUGCAAACCAAUAUGCUAAUAGCAUCUGAGAUUGAAGUGUUGGUAUUAGAUAGUUGUGUUGUUGAUUGUAUUCAUAUGAUCCAGGGAGAUUUUUUGAAGAAUAAGGACUAAGGUUCAUGUUUUAUUUAUUCAUGUUUCAGGGAGUUGUAUACUUACUAGCUCAAGAAAAGCAGCAAUGUGGUGGACAGAUUACUUCUAAGAUGAAUGGGAUGAAAGCAACAUUACAAAGAGUCAACCUUCUGAUGCCAUAUAUGCACGCAGUGGCGGAUCCAGGGUCAAAAACUAUGCGGGGCAUUAAAGGAGGAAUUUUUUCUUCAGCAAUAGAAAAUGUUGGGAAGGAAAUAAAAAAACGUUGAGAAGAAAGAAUAAAAUGGAAAAUAAAUGCAGAUGAGUGGGUUUAAACCCAGCUCCUCACACACAAUGUAAGACACCUUUCUCCAAAUGAGCUAGCAGAUACUAUAUUGCAAGGACUAGUUCAAAGAUCAUUAAAAAGGAGUGUGGGGGCACGUGCCCCACCCCCUUUAGCUGUAGAUCCCCCUGUAUGCACGUCACGGCCUCACGGGUGGGUUUGUGUGAACCUUUUUGUCUAAUUCACGCGGUCAAUCAUUGGGGAUAGUGGAUCAAUGGAGAUAGUGGAUACGCAAAUAAACCGAAUCUAGCAAUCAAAUCGGAUGGCCAAUACCGGUUUUACUUGGACAAGUUUUCUUAUGAACUUACCAAACUACAUAACCUUUUUAAAAACUGAACACAAUUACAACAUACUUUUAUUACAAAAGCUUUAUACAACCAAUAUGACGAAUGGAUUUCUUUCG
Molecule: non-coding RNA, 837 nt
Organism: Camelina sativa (false flax)
Lineage: Eukaryota; Viridiplantae; Streptophyta; Magnoliopsida; Brassicales; Brassicaceae
Source: RefSeq, a predicted model, not a curated record